This 161-nucleotide ribosomal RNA is filed under the name Hordeum bogdanii. RNAcentral describes it as "5.8S ribosomal RNA". It matches the Rfam family "5.8S ribosomal RNA". Rfam says of the family: 5.8S ribosomal RNA (5.8S rRNA) is a component of the large subunit of the eukaryotic ribosome. It is transcribed by RNA polymerase I as part of the 45S precursor that also contains 18S and 28S rRNA. Lineage: Eukaryota; Viridiplantae; Streptophyta; Magnoliopsida; Poales; Poaceae. The record is from RNAcentral.
ACGACUCUCGGCAACGGAUAUCUCGGCUCUCGCAUCGAUGAAGAACGUAGCGAAAUGCGAUACCUGGUGUGAAUUGCAGAAUCCCGCGAACCAUCGAGUCUCUGAACGCAAGUUGCGCCCGAGGCCACUCGGCCGAGGGCACGCCUGCCUGGGCGUCACGC